Molecule: ribosomal RNA, 301 nt
Filed under: uncultured bacterium
Lineage: Bacteria
Description: partial 16S ribosomal RNA
Rfam family: Bacterial small subunit ribosomal RNA
Source: RNAcentral
CAGUCGCCGCGGGAAAACGGAGGGGGCUAGCGUUGUUCGGAAUUACUGGGCGUAAAGCGCACGUAGGCGGCUUGGUAAGUUAGAGGUGAAAGCCUGGAGCUCAACUCCAGAAUUGCCUUUAAGACUGCCGAGCUAGCAGGUGAGAGAGGUAAGUGGAAUUCCGAGUGUAGAGGUGAAAUUCGUAGAUAUUGGGAAGAACACCGGUGGCGAAGGCGGCGACCUGGUCCGAUACUGACGCUGAGGCGCGAAAGCGUGGGGAGCAAACAGGAUUAGAUACCCCCGUAGUCCCUGUCUCUUAUAA